Molecule: ribosomal RNA, 971 nt
Filed under: Limosilactobacillus fermentum
Lineage: Bacteria; Bacillati; Bacillota; Bacilli; Lactobacillales; Lactobacillaceae
Description: bacterial SSU rRNA
Rfam family: Bacterial small subunit ribosomal RNA
Source: RNAcentral
CGGACGGGUGAGUAACACGUAGGUAACCUGCCCAGAAGCGGGGGACAACAUUUGGAAACAGAUGCUAAUACCGCAUAACAACGUUGUUCGCAUGAACAACGCUUAAAAGAUGGCUUCUCGCUAUCACUUCUGGAUGGACUGCGGUGCAUUAGCUUGUUGGUGGGGUAAUGGCCUACCAAGGCGAUGAUGCAUAGCCGAGUUGAGAGACUGAUCGGCCACAAUGGGACUGAGACACGGCCCAUACUCCUACGGGAGGCAGCAGUAGGGAAUCUUCCACAAUGGGCGCAAGCCUGAUGGAGCAACACCGCGUGAGUGAAGAAGGGUUUCGGCUCGUAAAGCUCUGUUGUUAAAGAAGAACACGUAUGAGAGUAACUGUUCAUMCGUUGACGGUAUUUAACCAGAAAGUCACGGCUAACUACGUGCCAGCAGCCGCGGUAAUACGUAGGUGGCAAGCGUUAUCCGGAUUUAUUGGGCGUAAAGAGAGUGCAGGCGGUUUUCUAAGUCUGAUGUGAAAGCCUUCGGCUUAACCGGAGAAGUGCAUCGGAAACUGGAUAACUUGAGUGCAGAAGAGGGUAGUGGAACUCCAUGUGUAGCGGUGGAAUGCGUAGAUAUAUGGAAGAACACCAGUGGCGAAGGCGGCUACCUGGUCUGCAACUGACGCUGAGACUCGAAAGCAUGGGUAGCGAACAGGAUUAGAUACCCUGGUAGUCCAUGCCGUAAACGAUGAGUGCUAGGUGUUGGAGGGUUUCCGCCCUUCAGUGCCGGAGCUAACGCAUUAAGCACUCCGCCUGGGGAGUACGACCGCAAGGUUGAAACUCAAAGGAAUUGACGGGGGCCCGCACAAGCGGUGGAGCAUGUGGUUUAAUUCGAAGCUACGCGAAGAACCUUACCAGGUCUUGACAUCUUGCGCCAACCCUAGAGAUAGGGCGUUUCCUUCGGGAACGCAAUGACAGGUGGUGCAUGGUCGUCGU